CUGCUGGAACACGGUGCCAACCCCAAUCUGGCAGACGCUGACGGCAACACUGCCCUUCACCUGGCUGUGCUCUCUAAAAACACAGCUGUAGCAGGGCUGUUACUGGAGCAUCAUGCCAACAGUGAUGCUCAGAACCAGUGGGGAUUUACCCCCUUGAAACUUGCAGCCUUGCAACAGCACGAGGAGAUUCUGGAGUGCCUUGUGAACAAAGCAGCUGACAGGCCUGCUCAAGCCCAGGGGGAAAGGACUGCUCUUGUGGUUCCUGGAAGCCACGAAGCUCACCUGGAGGAAGAUAAUCUGCGCUUGCAGGAGGAGCUGGACAGGGCUGGCGCGGAGCUGCAGGAGGAGGAAGAAAAGCAUCUUCAGUCUGAGCAUUGUGUUCCUGACUUGAAGACUGCCUUGGAUGCCAAGAAAAGAGAGGCAG
Molecule: long non-coding RNA, 424 nt
Organism: Pipra filicauda (Wire-tailed manakin)
Lineage: Eukaryota; Metazoa; Chordata; Aves; Passeriformes; Pipridae
Exons: 4
Source: RefSeq, a predicted model, not a curated record